Molecule: transfer RNA, 75 nt
Filed under: Staphylococcus aureus
Lineage: Bacteria; Bacillati; Bacillota; Bacilli; Caryophanales; Staphylococcaceae
Also listed under: 1 other name
Description: tRNA-Asn
Rfam family: tRNA
About the family: Transfer RNA (tRNA) molecules are approximately 80 nucleotides in length. Their secondary structure includes four short double-helical elements and three loops (D, anti-codon, and T loops).
Source: RNAcentral
UCCACAGUAGCUCAGUGGUAGAGCUAUCGGCUGUUAACCGAUCGGUCGUAGGUUCGAGUCCUGCCUGUGGAGCCA